UACAGAGGGUGCGAGCGUUGUUCGGAAUUAUUGGGCGUAAAGCGCGUGUAGGCGGCAGUGCAAGUCGGGUGUGAAAGCCCUCAGCUCAACUGAGGAAGUGCGCCCGAAACUGCAUUGCUUGAGUACCGGAGAGGAUGGCGGAAUUCCCGAAGUAGAGGUGAAAUUCGUAGAUAUCGGGAGGAACACCGGUGGCGAAGGCGGCCAUCUGGACGGAUACUGACGCUGAGACGCGAAAGCGUGGGUAGCAAACAGG
Molecule: ribosomal RNA, 253 nt
Filed under: uncultured bacterium
Lineage: Bacteria
Description: partial 16S ribosomal RNA
Rfam family: Bacterial small subunit ribosomal RNA
Source: RNAcentral